UAUACUGAUCACGAAAUUUCCCUUGUUUGAAAAAAGGAGAAGAGUUUCCGGCCAUACGGCCCAUACCGCGUUUAGUUUUGGUGGUUCCUUCACUCUCACAGAAACUUUGAAAGAAGUUGCACAGUCGCACUAUCGUCGAACAGUUCAGAGUUCAGACAUCAGAAUUGAAAGCGUUAUACGGUAGCGUAAGGAGCACGAGAGAGAGUGAGUGAGAGAAUGGAUGCCCCCCUUGAUUUCGAGAACGAAGACCCGCUUUUCAUCUCCACAGCUCCCACAAAGAAAAGGGAGGACAAACAGUUACAAGUUCAGCUAUUUUAAGCCCCCUUGUAUGGGAAGCAAUGCGCAAUGGGCUAACCCCCCCUCAUUUUGGAAGAAGGUUAUUGGUUUGGAUGAUCUUCUUCAGGAUUUCUACAAGGAGCAAAGUAAGAAUAUUGAGAAGGAGUCAAAACGGAGGACUUCCCGUAAAUGUUACAAUUCAGACGAUGACGAUGACACGGUUCAGAAGAACAAAGAGGCUUCGCUGUCCAGGUGUUUCAGAGAGUGCGAAAAGACGAUGCAAGACGUAAGCAACGAGGAUGAGUUCCCUCUAUGGGGUCUACCGGUUUUCGGAAACCAGAAGGCAACUCCACCGCUUGUUUUUUCUGAGCUUGGUAGAUGCAAGCUUCUGGAGUCUUUCAUGAAUAGCAAAGAGAAUUCGUUUCUGGAACUGAGUGCUGAGAAAGAGGAAACACUUCUUCAAAGAUUAUUGAUAAAUGGUUGGAUUUCAAAGUUAGUUUUUGUGUCUGGAGACGUGGAAGCAUUCAUAGCAAUUUGGGCCUUUAAUCUAAUGUUGUAUUCAUCAAGUGAAGAACUGAGGUCUUCUGCAUGUGACUUUUGGUGCUCCAUUCUUCCAUCCAAAAAUGAGGUUGAUCCACCAUCCAUUAGGAUUGACUGGUUUCCUAGUGCUGCUGAACUGAAAAAGGCGCUUGAAAUAUACGGAUAUGUAUUGGAUUCCUCAAUUGAUAUUUCAUCCCUUUCAGAUAUGGCUCAUGGUGAUUCUGGUUCUAAAGGUCCACCUCAAAAUAUUAGAUAUUGGAUCAAAUUUCUUCUUGCUUGUUUCCGAAUCAGAGGUACAGGGUCUAUCUUCUCAACUUCAGAGGCACAAGAGUUUCUUUGUAUUAUUAUCUGCCUAUUCUUAGACCGUCGUCUUCAAGGCUUAUCAUUACUUUUGUAUGAUUGCAUGCAAUCAAUUAUUAGUUUCUUUGAAGACAAAGAUUGGAAAAGCAGUUGCGAGAAAACAGCAGAAGCUCUAGCUUACAGAAUGCCAAAAGACUUGAACUGCUUGAGAAUUGUAGAGUGUAUUUCAGGAGUUGACACCCGUAGCAAGCAUCUCAGAAGUGAAAUAUCCUUUCAAAUCCUUAUAAAUUGCUUUGAUCCAAAGGUUAAAGAUAUGGAAGAGAUUCUUAAAUUGCUCCUUUCAAUCAAUGUAAAGGACAAAAGUUGCGAUCUUUUCAAGAUGUAUGUCUACUUGGUUCUCACAGAAAAUUGGCUGUUCUCUGAUAAGCUAGUAGAAGACAAGCCAGUGAUUCUUGAAAUGUGGGGGGUUUAUCUUAGGAAUUGUUCUUGCCAAAUUACCAGCACAGAUUUGAGGUCUUAUGCAUCAAAGGUCCGUAACAGGGCUUCUUAUCUCCUACAAAGCACCAUGCAUAGAAGGGAUUAUGAUUGAAAGAUGAGGAAAAGGCCUUGGAUUACUAUGAUGUGAGUAGGUUUCUGGGUAUACAUGCACCGCAGGUGCAGGAAAGUGCAGCUCAAGUGAAUGAAAUCAGUCCAGACCAUAAUUGUCUAUGGACGGCUUUGGGUGCAGUUUGAUCUAGGAAGUUAUGCAACAGAGAUGGAAGUUCUCAAACAGAAGUCAUUGAGAAAUUGAACUGUGAACCUUGCUGGGUAUGGAAGCUUAAAAAUGAAAUGGGCCUUCUGCUCCGAAAGAAUGUUGGACUCUAUACCCCUAGUGCCACAAAAUGAAAUUGUCCCUCUCUGUAAUUUCUACAUAUUUUCCGGACAUGUACAAAGCUUUUAUGUAUUUUGCCUUUUGAUUAUAAUGUCUUUUCCAUUUUGAUAACUUUUUUUUUUUGGGAAAGUUUUCACCUUCUGAAAAGCGUCUGUUCUGCUUCAGAUUGUAAAGAAAUACAGGCCUUGUUUUUUUCAUCAUCCAGUCUACUGUAAUGACAUCUAUCUGUUAGCAUUGUUUUACUUAAUACAUGUCACUCAUGGUUCUCUGA
Nelumbo nucifera (sacred lotus) is the source of this 2258-nucleotide RNA transcript. It is a transcript of the gene named actin protein 2/3 complex subunit-like protein, with no coding region annotated. The record is from RefSeq and is a predicted model, not a curated record. Lineage: Eukaryota; Viridiplantae; Streptophyta; Magnoliopsida; Proteales; Nelumbonaceae.